This 253-nucleotide ribosomal RNA is filed under the name uncultured bacterium. RNAcentral's name for it is "partial 16S ribosomal RNA". It matches the Rfam family "Bacterial small subunit ribosomal RNA", at positions 524 to 776 of the family's 1533-position model. The record is from RNAcentral.
UACGUAGGUGGCGAGCGUUGUCCGGAUUUACUGGGCGUAAAGCGCGUGCAGGCGGUCCGUUAAGUGCAGGGUGAAAGCUCCCGGCUCAACUGGGAGAGGUCCUUGUAUACUGGCGGACUUGAGGGAGGUAGAGGAGAGUGGAAUCUCCGGUGUAGUGGUGAUAUGCGUAGAUAUCGGAGGGAACACCAGUGGCGAAGGCGGCUCUCUGGGCCUUACCUGACGCUGAGACGCGAAAGCGUGGGUAGCGAACCGG